RNAcentral lists this ribosomal RNA (253 nucleotides) under uncultured bacterium. Its description in RNAcentral is "partial 16S ribosomal RNA". It matches the Rfam family "Bacterial small subunit ribosomal RNA", at positions 524 to 776 of the family's 1533-position model. The record is from RNAcentral.
UACGUAGGGGGCAAGCGUUGUCCGGAAUCAUUGGGCGUAAAGCGCGUGUAGGCGGCUCGAUAAGUCUGCUGUGAAAGUCCAGGGCUCAACCCUGGAAUGCCGGUGGAAACUGUCGAGCUAGAGUCCGGAAGAGGCGAGUGGAAUUCCUGGUGUAGCGGUGAAAUGCGCAGAUAUCAGGAGGAACACCAAUGGCGAAGGCAGCUCGCUGGGACGGUACUGACACUGAGACGCGAAAGCGUGGGGAGCAAACAGG